GGGUUGUGAGGUUAAGCGACUAAGCGUACACGGUGGAUGCCCUGGCAGUCAGAGGCGAUGAAGGACGUGCUAAUCUGCGAUAAGCGUCGGUAAGGUGAUAUGAACCGUUAUAACCGGCGAUUUCCGAAUGGGGAAACCCAGUGUGAUUCGUCACACUAUCAUUAACUGAAUCCAUAGGUUAAUGAGGCGAACCGGGGGAACUGAAACAUCUAAGUACCCCGAGGAAAAGAAAUCAACCGAGAUUCCCCCAGUAGCGGCGAGCGAACGGGGAGCAGCCCAGAGCCUGAAUCAGUGUGUGUGUUAGUGGAAGCGUCUGGAAAGGCGCGCGAUACAGGGUGACAGCCCCGUACACAAAAAUGCACAUACUGUGAGCUCGAUGAGUAGGGCGGGACACGUGGUAUCCUGUCUGAAUAUGGGGGGACCAUCCUCCAAGGCUAAAUACUCCUGACUGACCGAUAGUGAACCAGUACCGUGAGGGAAAGGCGAAAAGAACCCCGGCGAGGGGAGUGAAAAAGAACCUGAAACCGUGUACGUACAAGCAGUGGGAGCACAGAGCAAUCUGUGUGACUGCGUACCUUUUGUAUAAUGGGUCAGCGACUUAUAUUCUGUAGCAAGGUUAACCGAAUAGGGGAGCCGAAGGGAAACCGAGUCUUAACUGGGCGUUAAGUUGCAGGGUAUAGACCCGAAACCCGGUGAUCUAGCCAUGGGCAGGUUGAAGGUUGGGUAACACUAAUUGGAGGACCGAACCGACUAAUGUUGAAAAAUUAGCGGAUGACUUGUGGCUGGGGGUGAAAGGCCAAUCAAACCGGGAGAUAGCUGGUUCUCCCCGAAAGCUAUUUAGGUAGCGCCUCGUGAAUUCAUCUCCGGGGGUAGAGCACUGUUUCGGCAAGGGGGUCAUCCCGACUUACCAACCCGAUGCAAACUGCGAAUACCGGAGAAUGUUAUCACGGGAGACACACGGCGGGUGCUAACGUCCGUCGUGAAGAGGGAAACAACCCAGACCGCCAGCUAAGGUCCCAAAGUCAUGGUUAAGUGGGAAACGAUGUGGGAAGGCCCAGACAGCCAGGAUGUUGGCUUAGAAGCAGCCAUCAUUUAAAGAAAGCGUAAUAGCUCACUGGUCGAGUCGGCCUGCGCGGAAGAUGUAACGGGGCUAAACCAUGCACCGAAGCUGCGGCAGCGACGCUGAUGCGUUGUUGGGUAGGGGAGCGUUCUGUAAGCCUGUGAAGGUGUGCCGUGAGGCAUGCUGGAGGUAUCAGAAGUGCGAAUGCUGACAUAAGUAACGAUAAAGCGGGUGAAAAGCCCGCUCGCCGGAAGACCAAGGGUUCCUGUCCAACGUUAAUCGGGGCAGGGUGAGUCGACCCCUAAGGCGAGGCCGAAAGGCGUAGUCGAUGGGAAACAGGUUAAUAUUCCUGUACUUGGUGUUACUGCGAAGGGGGACGGAGAAGGCUAUGUUGGCCGGGCGACGGUUGUCCCGGUUUAAGCGUGUAGGCUGGUUUUCCAGGCAAAUCCGGAAAAUCAAGGCUGAGGCGUGAUGACGAGGCACUACGGUGCUGAAGCAACAAAUGCCCUGCUUCCAGGAAAAGCCUCUAAGCAUCAGGUAACAUCAAAUCGUACCCCAAACCGACACAGGUGGUCAGGUAGAGAAUACCAAGGCGCUUGAGAGAACUCGGGUGAAGGAACUAGGCAAAAUGGUGCCGUAACUUCGGGAGAAGGCACGCUGAUAUGUAGGUGAAGUCCCUCGCGGAUGGAGCUGAAAUCAGUCGAAGAUACCAGCUGGCUGCAACUGUUUAUUAAAAACACAGCACUGUGCAAACACGAAAGUGGACGUAUACGGUGUGACGCCUGCCCGGUGCCGGAAGGUUAAUUGAUGGGGUCAGCGCAAGCGAAGCUCUUGAUCGAAGCCCCGGUAAACGGCGGCCGUAACUAUAACGGUCCUAAGGUAGCGAAAUUCCUUGUCGGGUAAGUUCCGACCUGCACGAAUGGCGUAAUGAUGGCCAGGCUGUCUCCACCCGAGACUCAGUGAAAUUGAACUCGCUGUGAAGAUGCAGUGUACCCGCGGCAAGACGGAAAGACCCCGUGAAUCUUUACUAUAGCUUGACACUGAACAUUGAGCCUUGAUGUGUAGGAUAGGUGGGAGGCUUUGAAGUGUGGACGCCAGUCUGCAUGGAGCCGACCUUGAAAUACCACCCUUUAAUGUUUGAUGUUCUAACGUUGACCCGUAAUCCGGGUUGCGGACAGUGUCUGGUGGGUAGUUUGACUGGGGCGGUCUCCUCCUAAAGAGUAACGGAGGAGCACGAAGGUUGGCUAAUCCUGGUCGGACAUCAGGAGGUUAGUGCAAUGGCAUAAGCCAGCUUGACUGCGAGCGUGACGGCGCGAGCAGGUGCGAAAGCAGGUCAUAGUGAUCCGGUGGUUCUGAAUGGAAGGGCCAUCGCUCAACGGAUAAAAGGUACUCCGGGGAUAACAGGCUGAUACCGCCCAAGAGUUCAUAUCGACGGCGGUGUUUGGCACCUCGAUGUCGGCUCAUCACAUCCUGGGGCUGAAGUAGGUCCCAAGGGUAUGGCUGUUCGCCAUUUAAAGUGGUACGCGAGCUGGGUUUAGAACGUCGUGAGACAGUUCGGUCCCUAUCUGCCGUGGGCGCUGGAGAACUGAGGGGGGCUGCUCCUAGUACGAGAGGACCGGAGUGGACGCAUCACUGGUGUUCGGGUUGUCAUGCCAAUGGCACUGCCCGGUAGCUAAAUGCGGAAGAGAUAAGUGCUGAAAGCAUCUAAGCACGAAACUUGCCCCGAGAUGAGUUCUCCCUGACCCUUUAAGGGUCCUGAAGGAACGUUGAAGACGACGACGUUGAUAGGCCGGGUGUGUAAGCGCAGCGAUGCGUUGAGCUAACCGGUACUAAUGAACCGUGAGGCUUAACCUUACAACGCCGAAGGUGUUU
Molecule: ribosomal RNA, 2932 nt
Filed under: Escherichia coli
Lineage: Bacteria; Pseudomonadati; Pseudomonadota; Gammaproteobacteria; Enterobacterales; Enterobacteriaceae
Description: bacterial LSU rRNA
Rfam family: Bacterial large subunit ribosomal RNA
Source: RNAcentral